AUACGGAGGAUCCGAGCGUUAUCCGGAUUUAUUGGGUUUAAAGGGUGCGCAGGCGGCCAUUUAAGUCAGCGGUUAAAUCGUGGGGCUCAACCCCAUUCUGCCGUUGAUACUGGGUGGCUUGAUUGCGGUCGAGGUUGGCGGAAUUCGUUGUGUAGCGGUGAAAUGCAUAGAUAUGACGAGGAACACCGAUUGCGUAGGCAGCUGACCAGACCGCAAAUGACGCUCAUGCACGAAAGUGCGGGGAUCGAACAGGAUUAGAUACCCUGGUAGUCCGCACAGUAAACGAUGAAUACUUGUUUUCGGCGAUAUAAUGUCGGAGGCAAAGCGAAAGCGAUAAGUAUUCCACCUGGGGAGUACGCCGGCAACGGUGAAACUCAAAGGAAUUGGCGGGG
This 392-nucleotide ribosomal RNA is filed under the name uncultured bacterium. RNAcentral's name for it is "partial 16S ribosomal RNA". It matches the Rfam family "Bacterial small subunit ribosomal RNA", at positions 523 to 918 of the family's 1533-position model. The record is from RNAcentral.